Homo sapiens (human) is the source of this 594-nucleotide long non-coding RNA. The record is from Ensembl. Lineage: Eukaryota; Metazoa; Chordata; Mammalia; Primates; Hominidae.
CUAAGUCAAUGUUAUGAUUCCAUGCUGCAAACAAGGAAAUUAAGCCUCAGCAAUCCUGAUAUUCUGGAACAGAACAAUCCUUUAAGAGAUUUGGUAUUGAAGACCUUGUUGGAAAUGGAUCAGACAUUGCCCAGACCACUGUCCAGACCCAACACUGGAAUAACCCAGGAGAGCUUCGUGCUUACCUCCCAUCGGCGGUCAUUGGUGAAAAUCUCAUCAUUGGCUAAGUCCAGCUGGUUCCACUCCAGCAGAAGCUUCAGCUGCCCAUUCCAGUUAUCCUUGUCUUGCUCACUGGUGCUGAAGGCUGUGAGAGGGCAGGAAAAGACUCAACUCACCAAAGGCUCAGAAAUAAGAGUGAGAACCAUUCAGUGUGGCCAAUUAUCAGAGCUGUUUAUCACAGAUCGUAUUUGUUCUUAAAUGGUAUCUACCAGAAGAAGACAGCCAGCUUUUGAUACUAACAAACCACAAUGGAAGAUGGCCGUAUUUAUCAUUGCCUUUAGCAUGUUAAAGGGUACAUACCACAUUGACCCUGGCAGAAGCAUUCCUGAUGUGUUGGAAAAAUUAAGAGAAAUAACAGUUCUUUGGCAAUAAAAA